Molecule: ribosomal RNA, 253 nt
Filed under: uncultured bacterium
Lineage: Bacteria
Description: partial 16S ribosomal RNA
Rfam family: Bacterial small subunit ribosomal RNA
Source: RNAcentral
UACGUAGGGGGCAAGCGUUGUCCGGAUUUAUUGGGCGUAAAGAGCGUGUAGGCGGUCAGGUAGGUCCGUUGUGAAAACUCGAGGCUCAACCUCGAGACGCCGAUGGAAACCAUCUGACUAGAGUCCGGAAGAGGAGAGUGGAAUUCCUGGUGUAGCGGUGAAAUGCGUAGAGAUGUGGAGGAACACCGAUGGCGAAGGCAGCCCCCUGGGCUAGUACUGACGCUCAUGCACAAAAGCGUGGGGAGCAAACAGG